Helianthus annuus (common sunflower) is the source of this 115-nucleotide non-coding RNA. The record is from Rfam. Lineage: Eukaryota; Viridiplantae; Streptophyta; Magnoliopsida; Asterales; Asteraceae.
CUAUGUAUAGCGGAGCUGAGCAAUGGUUAACCUCCCUUCGGAGCGAUACAAAGAAGAUUAGCAUGGCCGUGCACAAGGAUAACACACGCAAGUCGAUAAAUGGUUCCAAAUUUGU